Molecule: transfer RNA, 63 nt
Filed under: Rattus norvegicus (Norway rat)
Lineage: Eukaryota; Metazoa; Chordata; Mammalia; Rodentia; Muridae
Rfam family: tRNA
About the family: Transfer RNA (tRNA) molecules are approximately 80 nucleotides in length.
Source: Rfam by way of RNAcentral
GGGGAUUUAGCUCAAUGGUAGAGCGCUUGCCUAGCAAGCACAAGGUCCUGGGUUCAGUCCCCA